UUACCAAAAACAUAGCCCUAGAUAAAAUCUAAGGUGUAACCUGCCCAGUGGUUUUUAAAUAAUAAUUAAAAAAAUUAAAAAUAAAACUAAAAGGACGCGGUAACCUUGACCGUGAUAAUGUAGCAUAAUCACUCGCCAUUUAAUUGAUGGAUAGUAUGAAUGGUUGAACGAAUAUUCCACUGUCUUAAAGAGAAUUAAAAGAAAUUGAAAUAAUAGUUAAGAUGCUAUUUUAAACUGUAAGACGAAAAGACCCUAUAGAGCUUAACUAUAAACUUUUUAUAAAAAAUUAAAAAUAAAUUUACUAAUUAAAAAGUUUGGUAGUUUAGUUGGGGCGACUAUCUUCUAAAAUAAACGAAGAUAAGCAAUAUUAAUAAAAAAUUUAUUGUAUAAAUAAAAAUUUUAACAAUUAUUAUAGUAGGCUAUAAUGACCCGUUUUUACUAAAAAAUAAGAAAAACGAUCAAUUAAUAAAAGCUACCUUAGGGAUAACAGGAUAAUUUCAUUUUAGAGCUC
RNAcentral lists this ribosomal RNA (511 nucleotides) under Obelia dichotoma (sea thread hydroid). Its description in RNAcentral is "partial large subunit ribosomal RNA". It matches the Rfam family "Bacterial large subunit ribosomal RNA", at positions 1804 to 2501 of the family's 2925-position model. The record is from RNAcentral. Lineage: Eukaryota; Metazoa; Cnidaria; Hydrozoa; Leptothecata; Obeliidae.